RNAcentral lists this transfer RNA (86 nucleotides) under Phycisphaerales bacterium. RNAcentral describes it as "tRNA-Leu". It matches the Rfam family "tRNA". From Rfam's summary of the family: Transfer RNA (tRNA) molecules are approximately 80 nucleotides in length. Lineage: Bacteria; Pseudomonadati; Planctomycetota; Phycisphaerae; Phycisphaerales. The record is from RNAcentral.
GCGGGCGUGGCGGAAUUGGCAGACGCGCGGGGUUUAGGUCCCCGUGGCCGUAAAAGGCCGUGCAGGUUCAAGUCCUGUCGCCCGCA